Molecule: ribosomal RNA, 490 nt
Filed under: uncultured bacterium
Lineage: Bacteria
Description: partial 16S ribosomal RNA
Rfam family: Bacterial small subunit ribosomal RNA
Source: RNAcentral
GAUGAACGCUAGCGAUAGGCUUAACACAUGCAAGUCGAGGGGCAGCAUGGUCUUAGCUUGCUAAGACUGAUGGCGACCGGCGCACGGGUGCGUAACGCGUAUGCAACUUGCCUCACAGAGGGGGAUAACCCGUCGAAAGACGGACUAAUACCGCGUACACUCCAUCUUGGGCAUCCAAGGUAGAGGAAAUGAAAUUCGCUGUGAGAUAGGCAUGCGUCCCAUUAGCUAGUUGGUGAGGUAACGGCUCACCAAGGCGACGAUGGGUAGGGGAACUGAGAGGUUGAACCCCCACACUGGUACUGAGACACGGACCAGACUCCUACGGGAGGCAGCAGUGAGGAAUAGUGGUCAAUGGGCGAGAGCCUGAACCAGCCAAGUCGCGUGAAGGAUGACUGUCUUAUGGAUUGUAAACUUCUUUUAGACGGGAAUAACAAGAGUCACGUGUGACUCCCUGCAUGUACCGUAUGAAUAAGCAUCGGCUAACUCCGUG